Molecule: ribosomal RNA, 506 nt
Filed under: Dactylonia holthuisi
Lineage: Eukaryota; Metazoa; Arthropoda; Malacostraca; Decapoda; Palaemonidae
Description: partial large subunit ribosomal RNA
Source: RNAcentral
GUCUGUAUGUAAUAUUAUUUACAGUCUGACCUGCCCACUGAAUUUUAAAGGGCCGCGGUAUUAUGACCGUGCUAAGGUAGCAUAAUCAUUAGUCUUUUAAUUGAAGGCUGGAAUGAAUGGUUGGAUGAAGAAUGUUCUGUCUUUUUUAAAAUUUGAAUUUAACUUUUAAGUGAAAAGGCUUAAAUUAUUUAGUGGGACGAUAAGACCCUAUAAAAUUUUAUAUAAAUUUGGUUAUAAUUUGAGAAUUAGGUGUGAUUCUKUUUUAGUUAAAUUAUAUUUUGUUGGGGAGAUGUUUAUAUAAUUGGUAACUGUUAGUUGAAAUUAAUAAUUAUGGUUAGUGUUUGAUCCUUUAUUAGAGAUUAAAAGAUUAAGUUACUUUAGGGAUAACAGCGUAAUUUUCUUUGAGAGUYCUUAUCGACAAGAGUAGUUGCGACCUCGAUGUUGAAUUAAAAUAUCAAAAUGGUGUAGCCGCUUUUUUGGUGGGUCUGUUCGACCUUUAAAAUUUU